Non-coding RNA from Peromyscus maniculatus bairdii (prairie deer mouse), 372 nucleotides. The record is from RefSeq and is a predicted model, not a curated record. Lineage: Eukaryota; Metazoa; Chordata; Mammalia; Rodentia; Cricetidae.
CCUCCCUGGCCACUGCAUCACUGCUGGGCUCCCACAGCUCACAUUGCCUCAGAAGUGAUGCAGGAGAGGAAGGGAAGACCAGGACACAGUGGUAUAUGCCUGUGGUGCCCGGUACUUGGAUGGCUGAGAGUUCUGGAAACUUUGGAAGGUGGAGCUUAGCUUAGGGAAGCAAGUCACUGAGAAGAAGGGGCGGGUCCUCGGGGUGUGCUAUCCUUGCCCACUUCCUGUCUCCCUGUGAUUCCUGGUCCUCUCCACCAUGUGAACAGGCCCUACCACAUGCUCUCAUUGUAAAUGGAGCUCUCUGCCAUGACUUCCCCGCCAUCUUGAACUAAAUCCUCUGAAACCAUGAAACCAAAAAAAGUAUUUCCUUAA